UGUUCCUGAUUGUCCUAUCCUUUUCUUCUGCUUGGCUUGGAAAUUGUACCUGACUGGUUGCUUCCUCCUGUUGCUGGUUAUGCCUCUCACUGACCCUGGGUUCAGGGCUUUUUGAUCCACAGCUUUUGAAGUGCUUCCAGACUGUACCUAAAGCUCAGCUCAGAUCUGUGAGAGAGGAGAGCAUUACCUGCUCUAGUGAAGCUGGAGGUGUGGUGCUGAGUGUUAAAGGCUUACACUGGAGAUCUGCACAGGGGCUCUGGCUUCUUCACCUGGCUCUGCUGCUGCACCAGCUGAAUGGUCCUGGCUCAGAUGUAAGAGGAGUUUUGGAUGGCUCCAUGCAACUUCUGGGGAAUGUCUUCUGCAGACCACGGCCCCCAGUAACCUGACAAUCAUUUAAAAAGCAUGUUGGGGAUGGACAUCAAAGCACCGAGUUCUGCUUAAUGCUUAGAUGCCUUGUCUGGGACCUGGAUCAAUGGAAGUCCACACAUCAUUAGUGCACUUGCCAGCCAUGGAGUGGAGAAACAUCUGGACAACAAACCCCUCCCUUUAUUGCCAACCCUCUGCUUGCCCCAGGAUCCAGUCUUCCCUGGGGCUGGAGGGGCUGAAAGCAGGCUGCUCUGCUGGAGGAACUGGGGAGAAGUUGGAUCUGCUGCCAAAAGAUCUCCAGUGCUGGUGGAAAUGGCACCUGGGGAAUCCAACAGUGGGGAAGCAGAGAAGGUCUAGCGCAUCCAUGUUGAAAAACCAAUGCAUUGGUGUCUUGUGAGCUCCUCUUUUUCAUGGCUGGUUCAGCUGCAAAGGUGCUGAUGUCUUGGGAGAAGGGGUGUCCAAAACCAAAUAGCUGUCAGAAGUUUCUUUGGACUGUAGUAUUUUUGGUCUGAAAAGGUUGAUUUGUUAAGUGUGAUUGCGGGAGAGGAGUGUUGGGAGACGGUAUUGGUAGGUCUUUGUUGUCACUUUGUUUUUCACAAAAGAUAUCUGGCACUCCUGAGUUUACCCUGUCCUGACAGGAACAUAUUUGAAACCAAAAGAUUUCUUUUUUUUUUUUUUUUUUCUUUAACCUCUUUUUCUCCCCCACUUCUGGCAGGCUACAGUACCCCUGAACUCUGCCAUUGACUUUGUACAUGUUCUUGUUGGGUGGUUUAUAGAUGGUUAAUUAUCUGAAUUAAGUUACUGCCUGUGACUGUAAUCCAGGAGACUUCUGUUCCAUGGGCACAGCCAGUGUUACACUGAACCUUGCAGCUUUACACUAUUAGUUGAACUCUGUUGUUCUCAUCUUUGUUGCGUGUCUGGAUUUGUCUUCCUAAGCUUGAGAGUGGGAGAGGCUUUCAGAUUUCCUUCAGCCAUCAUGAGGCAGCACUACUCAUGUUCAAGCUGGUGACAUUACCAGUGGCAAUCUGCACUAAAAGAAAAUCUGUAACUAAGCUGUCACUUUGGUUAAAAUAUCUUUCUUAUUAAAAAAACAGGAAAAAAAAGAGAAAAGAAAACGGGAUCCCUCUGUGUCAGGAGAGAAGGGAGAAGCUAAGAGAGUCACACACUAGUAGUACAUAACAUCCAGAAAUUACAUUAAUUGAGUGCUUCCACUAUCCCAUCUUUUUCUGAUUUUGUGAAUAUCACGUGUAGAACAGCAUCGUGUGGUUGUUAAUUACGACAACCAAAGUGCAAUUUUGUAAUAAGGCUAGCAGAUGUUUGCAGUGCUAAAUAUUCAGAUCAAACCCAGUUCUUUUUACCCAGCACUCACCCAGUCAAGAUCACGUAGAGUGUCUAAAUUAUUUUUUAAAUUUGUUGUUCUCUAUAAAUUCCCUCUAGCUCACCUUUUAAGCUCUCUAUUUGUGAUGUGAUCUGUAAGAUCAGGUUGCUGAACAUUACAAUAUUUCAUUUGCUGGUAAUUAGGCUCUCAUUUUCUUUCCAUCAAGCAAAGAGAAGUUUUGCCACUAAUUGUGGUAGGACAGGACCAGCCCCUCCGUUUUGCUUUUGUAAGGAUUUUAAAGGCCUUGUGAACAUAGGAAAAGUUUGUGUUGACCAAAAUGUCUGUGAUGAACUGAAAGACAGUCAUUUGCACUCAUGUGAGAAGAGCUCUGUUAAGAGCCAUCAAUCCCACUUGUGACAGAGUAUUGACACUUGCUGGUCUUUAGGAUUCAUUUCUUAAAAUGCUAAUGCAGACAAGUUCCUGUCUGUUGUGAGAAAAUAUGGGGGGACUUUGUUAAAUGAGACACUCAAGUGCAAAUAAAUGUUUCCUGUAAGAAA
Molecule: long non-coding RNA, 2241 nt
Organism: Parus major (Great Tit)
Lineage: Eukaryota; Metazoa; Chordata; Aves; Passeriformes; Paridae
Exons: 4
Source: RefSeq, a predicted model, not a curated record